Cyprinus carpio carpio is the source of this 273-nucleotide long non-coding RNA. Lineage: Eukaryota; Metazoa; Chordata; Actinopteri; Cypriniformes; Cyprinidae. The record is from Ensembl.
ACACACACACGACUGUCUUGACAAGGAGAGGAAAAGAAGAAGAUAUGGGUCUGGAUGCCUCUUCAGUCCACUGGCAUGUAGCAGAUGGUUGCCCAGUUUGUGGUCUCCUCUCCUCACACUCUCAUCUCCCUAUCAAAUCAUGGCACCCCGGUCACAUGACCUCAAACAGCGUCAUGUGAUCUGGAGCAGUCUGUCCCUUUCUCAUUAAGAAAUAUUUACUGAUUCUAAACAGUGUCCAGUGGUUUAACAACCAGUUGACUUUUCUUCACUCGC